This 404-nucleotide ribosomal RNA is filed under the name Pediococcus pentosaceus. RNAcentral describes it as "bacterial SSU rRNA". It matches the Rfam family "Bacterial small subunit ribosomal RNA", at positions 83 to 474 of the family's 1533-position model. The record is from RNAcentral. Lineage: Bacteria; Bacillati; Bacillota; Bacilli; Lactobacillales; Lactobacillaceae.
AACACGAAGUGAGUGGCGAACGGGUGAGUAACACGUGGGUAACCUGCCCAGAAGUAGGGGAUAACACCUGGAAACAGAUGCUAAUACCGUAUAACAGAGAAAACCGCAUGGUUUUCUUUUAAAAGAUGGCUCUGCUAUCACUUCUGGAUGGACCCGCGGCGUAUUAGCUAGUUGGUGAGGUAAAGGCUCACCAAGGCAGUGAUACGUAGCCGACCUGAGAGGGUAAUCGGCCACAUUGGGACUGAGACACGGCCCAGACUCCUACGGGAGGCAGCAGUAGGGAAUCUUCCACAAUGGACGCAAGUCUGAUGGAGCAACGCCGCGUGAGUGAAGAAGGGUUUCGGCUCGUAAAGCUCUGUUGUUAAAGAAGAACGUGGGUAAGAGUAACUGUUUACCCAGUGACG